Molecule: ribosomal RNA, 749 nt
Filed under: Arenibacter sp. MMRF641
Lineage: Bacteria; Pseudomonadati; Bacteroidota; Flavobacteriia; Flavobacteriales; Flavobacteriaceae
Description: bacterial SSU rRNA
Rfam family: Bacterial small subunit ribosomal RNA
Source: RNAcentral
CUAUGCGUCCCAUUAGUUAGUUGGUAAGGUAACGGCUUACCAAGGCAGCGAUGGGUAGGGGCCCUGAGAGGGGGAUCCCCCACACUGGUACUGAGACACGGACCAGACUCCUACGGGAGGCAGCAGUGAGGAAUAUUGGACAAUGGGCGGGAGCCUGAUCCAGCCAUGCCGCGUGCAGGAAGACGGUCCUAUGGAUUGUAAACUGCUUUUGUACGGGAAGAAUAAGGGCUACGUGUAGUCUGUUGACGGUACCGUAAGAAUAAGGAUCGGCUAACUCCGUGCCAGCAGCCGCGGUAAUACGGAGGAUCCGAGCGUUAUCCGGAAUCAUUGGGUUUAAAGGGUCCGUAGGCGGGCCAUUAAGUCAGGGGUGAAAGUCUGCGGCUCAACCGUAGAAUUGCCCUUGAUACUGGUGGUCUUGAGUUAUGGUGAAGUGGCCGGAAUAUGUAGUGUAGCGGUGAAAUGCAUAGAUAUUACAUAGAACACCGAUUGCGAAGGCAGGUCACUAACCAUAUACUGACGCUGAUGGACGAAAGCGUGGGGAGCGAACAGGAUUAGAUACCCUGGUAGUCCACGCCGUAAACGAUGGAUACUAGCUGUCCGGGCGCAAGCCUGGGCGGCCAAGCGAAAGUGAUAAGUAUCCCACCUGGGGAGUACGUCCGCAAGGAUGAAACUCAAAGGAAUUGACGGGGGCCCGCACAAGCGGUGGAGCAUGUUUUUUAAUUCGAUGAUACGCGAGGAACCUUACCAGG